AUUAAGAUUCUAUAAACUCAGACAGAUAGGGAUACUAUCAUCCAAGAGAAGAAAACAGAAAGGAGAGCAUCUUUUUAAAAUUAAAUCAUUUUUCUUUGAUUAUGAAAAAUAAGUGACAACAAGCCAAAAUUAGAUAACAGACUUACAGUAUUAUACCAUUAGGAAGACAAACUUGCUCAAAGAUGGGCAUUCACCCUGAGAACCUAUGUUUUACAACUAUGGAGAAAUGUGUUCUUUUUCCUAUAUUAGAUUUCUAAAAUGAAGAGGCUGAGAUUUUACUAUUGAAGAGAAUCAUGCUUAUAUACAAUUCUAGAAGGUACUCACAAUUAGGCCUCUCAUAACAAUGGCCUGUCUUUUUGCAUAUCCAUUGUUCACAAAACUCCCAAAUAGUUUCUUCCUUUUUUUUUUUUUUUUAAAGAGGCUGGAAUUCUCCUUUGUUGCCCAGACUGGAUUCUGAGCUCAAGCGAUCCUCCCACCUCAGGCUCCCAAGUAGCUAGGAUUACAAAAUAGUUUCUUGAAAAACAACUGUCUACGCUAAAAAGCCACUUUUCAGUGCUAUAUACUACUAAAAUGUUUUAAAUGUUCUACUUUUAAAUAUAGGUUACAAACCUAGUAGCAUAAAAAUUUUAAUCCUGAAAACCUGAAUUGCUUUCAGACAACAUCAGGUGCAUUCAGGGUGGUAUGGCUGUAGGCCUGAACUGCUUUCAGAAAUAACCAAACAUACAUAAAUUCAUUUCAAAACAAAAUUUUUUUGAGACAGGGUCUCGCUCUGUCCCCUUAACUGGCUGAAGUGCGGUGGUGGGAACAUAGCUCACUGCAACCUUGAACUCCUGGGGUCAGGCGAUCUACUUGCCUCAGCUUCCCAAGUGGCUAAGACUAUACAGGUGUGUGCCACCACACCUGGCUAAUUUUUUUUUAAAUGUACUUUGUAGAGACAGGGUCUCAUGAUGUUGCCCAGGCUGGUCUCAAACCCCUGGCUUCAAGUGAUCCUCUUGCCUUGGCCUUCCAAAGCACUGGGAUUAUAGGCAUGAGCCACUGAAGCUGACCUCAUUUCAAAAUUUUAGAAGUCCUAUUUAAAAGAGACAUGAAGGCCAGGCGCGGCGGCUCACGCCUGUAAUUCCAGCACUUUGGGAGGCUGAGGUGGGCAGAUCACCUGAGGUCAGGAGUUCCAGACCAGCCUGGCCAAUGUGGUGAAACCCCAUCUCUACUAAAAAUACGAAAAUUAGCCAGGCGUGGUGGCAGGCACCUGUAAUCCCAGCUACUCAGGAGGCUGAGGCAGGAGAAUCACUUGAAUCUGGGAGGUGUAGGUUGCAGUGAGCUGAGAUCGUGCCACUGCACUCCAGCCUAGGCAACAAGAGCGAAACUCUGUCUCAAAAAAAAAAAAUAAUAAUAAAAUAAACGAAUGAAUGAAUGAGACAUGAGGCACAGGUGCAAUGAGCAUAGACAUGGCAUAAAACUUAAUAGGAUUUUCUAAAAAAAAAAAAAAAAAAAAAAAAAAAAAAGCUUCAAUUACCAAGGCAAUGUCUGUGCAAAUAUCACUCAAGAAAAGAUCUCUGUGUUCUUUUCAAGAAAAAAAAAAAACAAAAACCCAAAAAAUCCAAAAAGACCAAAGAAAAAAAUUACAGAAGGGAAAACUGGACCUGUUUCUAAAGUAAAAUAUUAAAACUGCAAUUUGAAAUUCUCAAGAAAGUGCUAUAUGAAAUUUAUGAUCAUUCUCAUCAUUUUCAGAAAUUACUUUUUUCCAUUUUCUUAAGAAUUUUGGAAGAAUCAAUACGUGAGGGAAGACAGUUCUGGAAACAUUUCAAAAACAGAUCAACGGAAAGUAAUGUAAGUAUAUAAAGAAAGACACAAUUUUUUAACUUAAUUUUUGUUUUUUAGAGACAAGGUCUUGCUCUGUUGCUCAGGUUAGGGUAUCCAUAGCUCACUGUAGCCUUGAAUUUCUGGGCUCAAGCAAUCCUCCUACAUCAGCCUCCUGAGUUGCUGGGACUAUAGCUCACAUCCCACCAUGCCUGGUGAUUUUAGGAAGAUGAUACAGUGUACAUACAGCUUGUAGCAAUUAAGGUUCUAGCAGGAAACAGGUGGCAAAUUCAAACUGAGAUAUUAGAGAUUAUGUAUAAAGGAGAAGGCAGGUUUUAAGGAAACUCUUAAGAAACAGUGUGAUACUACACCUGAAGUAGUGAGUGCAGGAAGCAGUUAGCAGAAAGCAGACACAGAGUAGGUUGUGUGGAGAGGGUCACCCAACAAAAACCAUACUGCAUGGAUGGAUGUAGCCAGCCCACUGGGACCCUGCAGAAACGGAGCCAAAAAUAUAUACCUCCUAACCUUACUCUCUUUCUUCUCCCUAAUCUUCCGCUUGUAUUCCCUAUGGGCCAGCUGAAAGCCAGAAAGGAGGGGAGCCCAAUGAUACCCUCUACACAGGUCAGCCUCUUAGGGUACACAGCAGGGUAAAGAACAGAGUGGAUUUGAAGAGGCAAAGGCAAGAUGUCCAGCAUGUAGUUAUGUUAGUCAGCACGAACUAAUUUCUGUCACAAAUAAUCCCAAAAUAUCACUGGCUAAGACAACAAAAGUUAAUUUCUCUUAAAUCAUGCUUUCUAAUGGUUUUACCAUCUUCUGGCGUCUUGGAGACCCCCUCCACUGAACCGUCUGUUUCUAGUAGGCGUUGAUAGAAGAAAGCAAGAAUGGAAGAUUGGUGAGAAGUUAGACAUCAGGCUUAAAAAUCAUAUACAGUUGACCCUUAAACAACAUGGCUUUGAACCAUGCUGAUCCACUUAUACAGAGGUUUACUUCCACCUCUGCCAGCCCGGGGACAGUAAGACCAAUCCCUCUUCUUUCUCCUCCACCUACUCAACAUGAAGAUAAAGAGGAUGAAGACCUUCGUGAUAAUCCACUUCCACUCAGAGAACAGUAAAUAUAUUUUCUCUUCCUCAUGAUUUUCUGGGUAACAAUUUCUUUUCUGGAGCUUAUUUCACUCUAAGAAUAUAGCAUAUACAACAUUUAACUUACAAAACAUGUUAAUCUGUUUAUGUUAUCAAAAGGCUUCCGAUCAACAGUCUAUUAGUAGUUUAGUUUUUGGGGAGGCAAAAGUUAUACGUAGAUUUUCCAUUGCGUGGAGAUUCAGUGCCCCUAACCCCAGUGUUGUUCAAGGGUCGAUUGUACAUCAUUGGAACUGACAUUUUACUGGCCAGAACUCAGUCAGAUGGUACCACCUAACUAUCAGAAUGCUAAGAGUGGUAUGGUGCUGUGCCCAGAAGGAAGAAGAGAAACAUGAAUAUGCUAAGUACUAUUCUUAUCAUGUAUUAUGUAACACUCCAGUAGAAAAUGGAACAGCACCCCAAAAUCAAUCUCAUCAAUAUUUCUGCAGCGCAACAUUAAUAUCCACAUUAAGUGAAACAAAGAUAGCUAAAAACCUCCCAUCUAUGCAGAUAAGGCAUUUGCACCAAAUAAAUUUUGGUGUCAAACUUUUUUAUUUUUUGAUAAAACUUAAGGUUUUUGGAGGAUUUGGGGUUUCAGAUUACAGACAAGGGAUUAUGAAUGUGCAUUAUGAUCCACAUUGUACAAAUGAAGAAAUCUUCUCAAAACAGCAGCCAGGAAAGUAGAGAUGAAAGUUAAACUCAAGCCUGUGCCUUCCAAAUUUAUGCUAAUGUGAAGGGAAAACUGCAAAUAACCAAAUAACUCUUACUUUAGACAUCAUUAAUGAUACCAGCCCUCCGACAUGGAGAAACAGGAGGUAUUUCAAUGAAUUCCAAUACUUAUUGUGCCCCUUUUUUUUUUUUUUUUUUUUUGAGAUGGAGUCUUGCUCUGUCCCCCAGGCUGGAGUGCAGUGAUGCGAUCUCAGCUCACUGCAACCUCCACCUCCUGGAUUCAAGCGAUGCUCCUGCCUCAGCCUCCCAAGUAGCUGGGACUACAGGCGCAUACCACCAAGCCUGGCUAAUUUUUUGUAUUUUUAGUAGAGAUGGGGUUUCACCGUGUUAGCCAGGAUGGUCUCCAUCUCCUGACCUCGUGAUCUGCCCACCUCGGCCUCCCAAAGUGCUGGGAUUACAGGCAUGAGCCUGUGUCCUAUUCUUUAUAACUGGCCCUGUGUCCUAUUCUUUAUAAACACUCACUAUAUUAGAAGCUAGAGGGAAUAGAAGGAAUAAGAGGUGGUAUCUUACCACAAAAAAAGCCAGAAUAUGGUGGAAGAUUUAGUUUCUUUAGUGAAAAUGAGACUCUGAUCAAAGUAUAAAGUACUAAAAUGACUGAUUCUGACGUGAAGAAUUAGGGAAGGAUCGUAUAAAAGGUGCUGACAUGAGUGGAGCUUGAAGAAACAACACAAUUUUGAAUGAGGAAAGUACAGUAGUACCCCCUUAACUGUGGGGGAUAUGUUCCAAGACCCCUCAGGGAUACCUGAAACCACAGAAUCACAGUAUUGAACCCAAUAUAUGCUGUGUUUUUCUCCUAUACAGAAAUACCUGUGAUAAAGUUUAAUUAUAAAUUAGGCACAGUAAGAGAUUAAAAACAAUAAUAAAAUAGAAGUUAUAGCAAUAUACUACAAUAAAAGCACAUGCACAUGGCAUCUCUCUCAAAAUAUCUUAUUGUACUAUACUCGCCCUUCUUGUGAUGAUGUGAUAUGACACAAUGCCUAUGUGAUAAGAUGAAGUGGGUUGACUAAUGCAGCACUGUGACACAGUGCUAGGCUACUAUUAACCUCAUGAUACAUCCAACUUAUGUUUAUUUCUGGAAUUUUCCAUUGAGUAUUUUCAGACCAUGGUGGACCAUGGGUAACUGAAACUAUGGAAAGUGAAACUUAGGAUAAGAGGGGGCUAUUAUUACACUUUGGGCAAGUUGGGGAGGCUGCACAAAGAUACAAAGUUGGUGGGUAUUUGAAGACCUGAAUAAUGGCAAAUUGACUAUUGUUUGUUUGGGAACAUUUGAGUACUAAAUAGAAUUUAAAUUUUACUUAAUCAUCAUGAAGAGGCCUGGAGAGCUUAAGAUAAAUAAGAAAGAGAAGAUAAUGAGAAAUCCAGUGUUGGAGAAACAUUUGGCUAGGUGAUGAUACAAUUAACCAAGAGAUUAUGAGAAGAAUAUAUCUAGAUACAAAAAUAGGAAGGAGAAAACACUAACUUCUGAAUUUUAAACAAGUUGAGACUGAGGUGUUUGAAGCAUCAAUAAAGAGUUGUGUAAGUGUAGUACUCAAAAGGUCAAGAUUAGAAAAAUAGAAUAAGUCACAGUUUGCUCAAGUUCGAAACAUUACUAUUACUAUUACUAUUACUAUUACCAACUAUAUACCCCCCAAAGAAAUCCACAGAAUGAGCAAGUGAGCAGAGAGAGGACAAUGACAAACUCCUGUAAAUUACUGCAGUACUCCGAUUCAUAAUAUCUACUCUGGUUGCCAAGUAGUUUUUUUUUGUUUGUUUACUUCUUAGAUCUGACCACAUUAACCUCCAGUUAAGUGAAGUUAUUAUAUGUACCAUAUAAAUAAGAUUUACCAAGCAUGGUUCUAUUCAUGGUUUAUUCAUUCAGGGGAAAAAUGAUCUUCACAGCACAGUAAAACAAGUGAGGAACAUGUACUGGCUUGUACUUCUGCCAUUUAUGUUGCAAUUUCCUUGUAUGUCAACACCAUUGUUCACAGUCCUGCAAUUUUUAAAGUGUGCUGGCCAAUAUGAUGAAAACAUUAGCAGAAUACAACCCAAUUUCCCUAUAUGCUAGUUAUCAUGGAAAACGGCUGACCAAAAGACAAAAUUCCUUCAAAAAAUUUACUUUAUGCACUUCAAGGUGACUGGUUUAAUACAUUAAAAAACCAUACACAAACACACAAAAGUUUGUAAACUCAGUAUGAAAAAGUAUCACUUUCAUAUGUAAUCCUUUUCUUAAGUUUCAUAUUAAUGAAGUUUAACUUCUUUUCUAAGGUUACUUUAUUUACCAAAAAUUAAAUACCUGAAAUGUUGUAUUACUGAAUUAUUUUUUAAACUUCAAAAUAACCAUGGGUAGAAACUGCCCUAUAAACAUAUGUACAGAUGUUCUAAGGAAAACGCAGACACCUUUAAUACACUUACUUGGUUUAAAAUCAUAAUAAUCACAGCAGGCAAAAUAGUAAAUUCAUCUAGUUAGAGUCAAUCCAGUGAAGCAAUUCAUUAAUGUAUACAUGGUAAGAGGAAUAACAAAUGCUAUUCACUGGAUUCUUUAAAUUAGCAAGCAGAUUUUAGAACUUUAUUUGAAUUCUUUAAUCUCUGCCAAAGUCUAUCUGUUUAUAUGUAGUUGUCUGGAAACACUCAGUUGGAUACUUCCAAAGAGCAAAUGGCAGGUCAAGUUUAGAACACAUGACUUCCUCACUAAUUAUAUUUAAAUAGCAUGCAGUGAGUGAGAAAUCAGAUUCCCCAUAGACGCUGGAGAAAGACUGAAUUCUUACUCUUCAAAGAAAAAUAUCAAAAGAGGAGGAUGAUGUUCAAGCUAUCACCGAUUGGCCUGCUCUUCAUGUUUGUUAACAUUCCGGGGACAAACUUCAACAUCAACAACCUCAAAUUCUAUGGCAGUAUCCAAUCCUGCGUCAAGCCUGAAUCCCGGGACCAGACCUAAUCCCAGGAAGAGCACCAAUCCCAGAAUGAACCCCAAUCCUGGGAUAAGCCCAGAUCUCAAAAUGACCUCGAGUCCCAAGAUGACUCCAAAUUCCAAGACAAGUCUGAAUAGAGCAGUGACCCCAAAGAGCCACAACUAUGAAUAUGAAUACUGUGACAAAUGGUAGCACCAAUCCUGGGACAAGCCCAAAUCUCAAAAUGACCUCAAAUCCCUAGAUGACUCCAAAUUCCAAGACAAGUCUGAAUACAGCAGUGACCCCAAAGAUAGCCACAACUAUGAAUAUGAACACUGUGACAAAUGGUAGCACCAUACUCAAUCCAAUGGACAACAUUUAUUUUCUAUGUAAUAUUUUUGCUGUUUUGUGUAUACUUGCACUCAGGCUGAAGUGAACUUCAACUGCCUGCAUUCUUAUCUCAGUUUCUUAUUAUUGCUGAAUGACAAGCAUGCUAGGAAAAUAUCAUUUAUUUCAAUUUACUAUUUAAGAAAUUAUCAUCUUGAUUUUUUUUUGCAAAUUAUAAUUGUGUACGUUUAAAUAUUAACUUAAUAUGAUGUUUUCCUUCCAUAUGAAAGAAGUAUGCACUACCUUAUUAAAUGCUGAAACAAGCAAAA
Long non-coding RNA from Homo sapiens (human), 7161 nucleotides. RefSeq lists it as uncharacterized. NCBI's taxonomy places the organism in Eukaryota, Metazoa, Chordata, Mammalia, Primates, Hominidae. The record is from RefSeq and is a predicted model, not a curated record. The transcript has 2 exons.